RNAcentral lists this long non-coding RNA (1193 nucleotides) under Carassius auratus (goldfish). RNAcentral describes it as "lncRNA (ENSCARG00000052879.1)". The record is from RNAcentral. Lineage: Eukaryota; Metazoa; Chordata; Actinopteri; Cypriniformes; Cyprinidae.
GAACGCCUUACUUCGCACAGAAGAUCUUACAGAGGGACAGAAGACGUGUUUCCGGUCAGAGAGGUCACAGCUGGUGUUGAUCUGAAGCCGUCUGCGGUUCAGUGGUCAGAUCUGACCGCCAUCCAAACACAAUUACAGCAGCAGAGUCAGGCCAUUGAGACUUUAACACAGAGUCUUCGAUUACUGGAAGGAGAACGAAAUGCUCAGACAAGACAAAUACAAACAUUACAAGGUGAUCAUCAAUCAGUUUCAAUGUACUUCAUUAUACUACUCCAAUUAACACUUCUUUCCUAUAAAUGAGUAAAUAGACUGUUUCUGUUGUUACUGAGGUCAUAUUUACUCCAGAAUCUCUGUCUUCCAGAGCAGCAGAAGAGACUUCGGAUAAACUGGAGGAGAGAGAGCAGGACACGGGUCGGAGAUCACUGAGUCCUGGACCGGACCGACGGAUCGAGCAGUGGAAGAGAGAGAUGGAUCGAGAGCUGAGCAGUCUGAGAGCGCAGAUCAACCGCGCCGCGACUCUAGGAAACCAGGAAGAAAGAGGCGUGGCUUUAGGAAACAGGCAAAAACGUUUCAGCUCCAAACUGCGCAGAGAAGAACUGGAGCAGCUCAGGAGAGAGGUGGACAUCCUUAAAAACAAACUCCUGCGGCAGGAAGAAGAUACGUUCCAGCUCCGGUCAGAGGCCAGAGAAACAAGGAGACAGUAUGAACAUAGCUCUAAGACGUUGGAGAGUUUUACAGAUUCGUACCGAACGCACAGUUUCGAUCUCGCUCGGAUGGUGUCACAGUAUCAGCACACGCAACAGGAAGUGCGUGACCUCAGAGUCACUGUCUCUGAGCUGAAGGACGAGGUGCGAGGUCUGGUCCUGAGAGAAACCCUCCCCACACCUGCACCUCUAACACACAAACCAGUGGUAACUGUGAAGACAAGCCCCCAGAGACGUGUGUCGUCAGGGUCCGAUGAUGAUUUCAGUCCCACCCCCAGUCUGGGGGAGAUCAGCUCAGAUGAGUUAGAUGCAUCAUGGCUGGAUGAACCAGAGCCACAAACCAGGAGGAGGCGCCGGCGAGUCCGUUUAAAUUCAGACAUUACAGGAAGUGACCUCAGCGAUGCUGGAAGUGGGCUGGAUAGUAACCUUGGCAAUGAUGCUGAAGGAGUUUCAGACAGUCCUCCAGAUCUCAGUCUCAGUGACCUCUGA